AAUUAAAAAACCUUUCUUUUCUUUCUCUAGAGGGAAAUCCAUUUGUCCAAGCAAUACUUUAACUUCUGUGCUAGAUAAAGAAAUGCAGAGCAGGCCUCCACCUCCUGUUCCUCAUUACAAACAAACAGAUAAGAGCAGUGGAAACAGUGGUUUAUCCAAACCAUUAAAAGAAGAGCCUGUAAUUGACUACUUUGAUGUCCAGGACUGAAGCGAUUGAUGUAGAAUUAUGAUACAGAAGCUUAGCGGUGAAGAUACUAAGUUACUGUGUGAGGCGCUUUUUGGUUAUCAUCUGUCAAAGGAUCAGUUGUUCAACAUAUUCACGAUUUAACAUCUAAAGUUAGCUUGAUUUGAUGCUCUAAGAAGUUAUGUACUUUUACAGUUUACAUAACUGCAUAAUACCUAACAGUAGUAUAGCUUUUCAAACCUGGGUUUGGUGCAAUUUUUUUAUCUAAUGUGCUGUCAGAAUGAUGUAGCCUUCCGUUGAUGCCUUUGAAGUAAGAGAACUGCUAAUCAAAUAUAUUUUUGGAGGUAGUAAGUGCGACGAUAAAUCUCAAAGAUUUAUUUUGACAUAUAUCUCACACACUUAAAAUGGACCAGAAAUCAUCUGUGUUAAAAACACUGAUGGGAAUAUUCUUAGUAUUUUCAUAGUUUAUUAAUUCACUUCCGUGUUAAUGUGGUAAACUUGGGAAUUUGAGUUACUCCUCUACAUGGAAGGAAAUACAAAACUUAGUCUACUUAAAAUGAAUAAUGAAUAAUAAUAAUGAAUGCCCAUUAAGAGCACAGACUUCCUUUGGCACCUGAAGAACCAGGAUCUGGGGAAGGUGGGGAAUUAAGA
Long non-coding RNA from Egretta garzetta (little egret), 835 nucleotides. RefSeq lists it as uncharacterized. The record is from RefSeq and is a predicted model, not a curated record. Lineage: Eukaryota; Metazoa; Chordata; Aves; Pelecaniformes; Ardeidae. The transcript is spliced from 2 exons.